This 386-nucleotide ribosomal RNA is filed under the name uncultured bacterium. RNAcentral's name for it is "bacterial SSU rRNA". It matches the Rfam family "Bacterial small subunit ribosomal RNA", at positions 1 to 394 of the family's 1533-position model. The record is from RNAcentral.
UGAGAGUUUGAUCCUGGCUCAGAUUGAACGCUGGCGGCAGGCUUAACACAUGCAAGUCGAGCGGAGAUGAGGUGCUUGCACCUUAUCUUAGCGGCGGACGGGUGAGUAAUGCUUAGGAAUCUGCCUAUUAGUGGGGGACAACAUUCCGAAAGGGAUGCUAAUACCGCAUACGUCCUACGGGAGAAAGCAGGGGAUCUUCGGACCUUGCGCUAAUAGAUGAGCCUAAGUCGGAUUAGCUAGUUGGUGGGGUAAAGGCCUACCAAGGCGACGAUCUGUAGCGGGUCUGAGAGGAUGAUCCGCCACACUGGGACUGAGACACGGCCCAGACUCCUACGGGAGGCAGCAGUGGGGAAUAUUGGACAAUGGGGGGAACACUGAUCCAGCCA